This 401-nucleotide ribosomal RNA is filed under the name uncultured Glomus. RNAcentral's name for it is "SSU rRNA". It matches the Rfam family "Eukaryotic small subunit ribosomal RNA", at positions 569 to 977 of the family's 1831-position model. The record is from RNAcentral. Lineage: Eukaryota; Fungi; Glomeromycota; Glomeromycetes; Glomerales; Glomeraceae.
AGCAGCCGCGGUAAUUCCAGCUCCAAUAGCGUAUAUUAAAGUUGUUGCAGUUAAAAAGCUCGUAGUUGAAUUUCGGGGUUAGUAGGUUGGUCAUGCCUCUGGUAUGUACUGGUCUCACUGAUUCCUCCUUCCUGAUGAGCCGUAAUGCCAUUAAUUUGGUGUUGCGGGGAAUUUGGACUGUUACUUUGAAAAAUUGAGUGUUUAAAGCAAGCUAACGCUUGAAUACAUUAGCAUGGAAUAAUGAAAUAGGACGUUCGAUCCUAUUUUGUUGGUUUCUAGGAUUGACGUAAUGAUUAAUAGGGAUAGUUGGGGCAUUAGUAUUCAAUUGUCAGAGGUGAAAUUCUUGGAUUUAUUGAAGACUAACUACUGCGAAAGCAUUUGCCAAGGAUGUUUUCAUUAAU